RNAcentral lists this microRNA (23 nucleotides) under Ornithorhynchus anatinus (platypus). RNAcentral describes it as "Oan-Mir-1421-P20_3p* (star (passenger))". Lineage: Eukaryota; Metazoa; Chordata; Mammalia; Monotremata; Ornithorhynchidae. The record is from RNAcentral.
UGCAUCAGGUGUGGCACAGCACA